ACUCCUACGGGAGGCAGCAGUGGGAAUAUUGCACAAUGGGCGCAAGCCUGAUGCAGCCAUGCCGCGUGUGUAGAAGCAUGGGCCUUCGGUUGAUGAAGCACUUUCAGUCGUGAGGAAGGUAGUGUAGUUAAUAGCUGCAUUAUUUGACGUUAGCGACAGAAGAAGCACCGGCUAACUCCGUGCCAGCAGCCGCGGUAAUACGGAGGGUGCGAGCGUUGUUCGGAAUCACUGGGCGUAAAGCGCGUGUAGGCGGCUUGGCAAGUCGGAUGUGAAAUCCCGAGGCUCAACCUCGGAACUGCACCCGAUACUGCCUCGCUAGAGUCUCGGAGAGGGUGGCGGAAUUUCCGGUGUAGAGGUGAAAUUCGUAGAUAUCGGAAGGAACACCAGUGGCGAAGGCGGCCACCUGGACGAUGACUGACGCUGAGACGCGAAAGCGUGGGGAGCAAACAGGAUUAGAUACCCUGGUAGGCUCU
Molecule: ribosomal RNA, 473 nt
Filed under: uncultured bacterium
Lineage: Bacteria
Description: bacterial SSU rRNA
Rfam family: Bacterial small subunit ribosomal RNA
Source: RNAcentral